GUUCAGUAGAGUUAUUCUUUAUGAAAAUAUAUAUAGUAAUUGAAAGAAGCUUAAUAUUUGGCAUCUCUAAUUUUUAAAAAGUAGUAAACACAUAUUAUGCACCUCUUAUGUCUUCUUUUUCCUUAAACCUUUCUACCUACUGACUUUCUUUCUUUUCUUAAAGACAGAGCCUCACUCUGUCACCCAGGCUGGAGUGCUAGAGUGCAGUGGCAUGAUCAUAGCUCCCUGAAGCCUUGAGCUCCUGGUCCCAAGAGAUCCUCUUGCCUCAGUGACCUACAUCCAAAGUGAAAAGUUAUUCAGCCUCUGAAGAGAAGCAUUUUGUUUGGGGAUCUUCAAGUAUGCUUGUCAGCACCGAGAACUGGAAAAAAAUCUCUGAUUGUCCUGCAGCAAUGGCAUUAAAGGCUCCUCAUAACAUACAGAACCAGAAUUGUGCCAUAAUUUACUGAAAUUGAACAUUGCUCUGUGACUGCUAAUUUUCCAUCGAGAUGAUUCUGUCUCUAACCAAGAAAAGAAAAGUUUGUCUUCCUGACUGCUGACACUGCUGACCAAGCCCACCACCAGAUGCCUGGCUGCACACCCAGAGGGCAGCCGCUUCCCGUGGUCCUCUCGAAGAACUUCCCUUUUGCAAUGCAUGUUUAGCAAGUGGAUGAGUUUGUCUUUUCUGAUUUCUCUGCAAGCUCUGCAUUGCCCACCUGAACCAGUGCUUCAGAAGAACUAAUGGGAUCUCUGACCCUCCAACAUCCUCUUCCAGACUUUCACUUUCCUGGCUCCUUGCAGGGACAUGUAAUAAACG
Molecule: long non-coding RNA, 793 nt
Filed under: Homo sapiens (human)
Lineage: Eukaryota; Metazoa; Chordata; Mammalia; Primates; Hominidae
Description: non-protein coding lnc-PCDH8-2:1
Source: RNAcentral